Conger conger (European conger) is the source of this 4079-nucleotide RNA transcript. It is a transcript of the gene named 3-ketodihydrosphingosine reductase, with no coding region annotated. NCBI's taxonomy places the organism in Eukaryota, Metazoa, Chordata, Actinopteri, Anguilliformes, Congridae. The transcript is spliced from 11 exons. The record is from RefSeq and is a predicted model, not a curated record.
UCAAAGUGUAUGGUUCGUUUUGUUUUGGUUCGUGUUGCAUCUGGAUGGACGGAGUGUUUGCUGUCGAAAGAGAAAGACUCGCGGUCACAAUUAAACUAGACUUCUCGCUUAGUCUGUCACGUUGCCAAAGGCUCUCAAAACUCCUCCUCUAAACGAGUGAUCACCUCCCCUGGUUGAGGAGCGCCUGCCCCUCUACUAGAUACGCUCCUCCCGUAUUCUGUGGCUAACGAUAUCGUUAGCAUCUAGCUAAAUUUAUCCAUGUCCGCCGAAGAGGGCUUGAGUUCUGCGAUCUCGGACUGGUUCAUCUUCAAUUCCUGGUGGCUCCUUCUGCCUUUCGUCAUGUUGCUGGUUGUUGCUGCAUUUAUUGUCGCCUUUGUGCUGUUGCUGUAUAUGAUAUCCCCGCUGAUUAGUCCCAAACCUCUCAAAUUAAACGGGGCCCACGUCGUGGUGACUGGCGGAUCCAGCGGGAUCGGAAAGUGCAUCGCCAUGGAGUGCUACAGGCAGGGAGCCUUCAUCACGCUGGUGGCGCGGGACGAGAGUAAACUGGUUCAAGCCAAGAAAGAAGUUGAAAAAUGUGCUAUAAAUGACAAGCAGGUGGUGCUCUGCAUUUCUGUGGACGUGUCUAAAGACUACAGCCAGGUGGAGAGCGUCAUCAAGCAAGCCCAGGAGAAGCUGGGGCCUGUGGACAUGCUGGUGAACUGCGCCGGCACGUCCGUCUCUGCCAAGUUCGAGGAGGUGGAAGUGGACCGCUUCCGGAGCAUGAUGGAGGUGAACUACCUGGGCAGUGUGUACCCCACGCGUGCGGUCAUCACCACCAUGAAGGAGCGCAGGAUGGGGCGCAUCAUGUUCGUGUCGUCACAGGCGGGCCAGAUCGGCCUGUUCGGCUACACCGCCUACUCCCCGUCCAAGUUCGCCCUGCGCGGCCUGGCCGAGUCCCUGCAGAUGGAGAUGAAGCCCUAUAACAUCUACGUGACCGUAGCCUAUCCUCCAGACACAGACACUCCUGGCUUCGCAGAGGAGAACAAAUCAAAGCCUUUAGAGACGAAGAUGAUCUCGGAGACAUCGGGGAUCUGCCAGCCAGAGCAAGUUGCUAAAGUUAUUGUCAAGGAUGCGGUGCAAGGGAACUUCAGCAGCUCUGUGGGUCCUGAUGGCUACAUGCUCUCUGCCCUCACCUGUGGAAUGUCCCCCGUCACCUCCAUCACAGAGGGCCUCCAGCAGUCUCCCGGCUUCCUGACAGACACAAGAACGGCCUCGGUUGACCCGUCACAGACUGUGGUUGUGUAGAGUGAGUGUGAGCGCACCUUCGGUGUGAACAGCAUGGCGGAAUGCUAAUUGUAGAUGGCGAAGUGCGAGCCGUGGGAGUGUGAAACGCACGUGAGAUCGUGACCAUGGGUCUCUUCCGCACCAUCGCCCUCUUCUACCUGGGGAGUUUCGACAGCAUCGUACGCCGGUGCAUGAUCCAGAGGGAGCAGUCCAAGGUCACGGACAAGAGCGAGUAACGCCUGCCCCUUCUCCAGCUCGCCCUGACCCCUGCCCUGACCCUAACCCCCAAAAAAAUCCCCACCACGAGCAAGAGGAGAUUCUAACCCUACCCCGUUAUUCACUCACACCCCCCCCCCCCCCCUUCUACAAGCCCCCAGCUAUGAUGUCAGAGAGGGGCAACAGGGUGAGACGGCAAGGGAGGACGUGGUGGUGGUGAUGAUGUCAUCGCAGGGCCGGCCUUGGAUGAAUGACCUCCAGUGCAUAUCCACCUGACAUAGUCCAGAUGUGUGUGUAUGUGUAUGUGAGUGUGUGUGUGUAAACUUGUUCUUAAACUGGUGUUCUUAUUUUCCGCUUUCCUUCCCAAGUGUCUCAUUGUGUUUGCAGUCCCAGAACAUUUCAGUUUCACGGUUUGUCUUCACACUCAACCGCACUAAAAAGCCAUGUCUCUAAAACUCCCUUCGUUUUGCUCUGAUAUAAUCUAACAUUGUGUCUGUCUUUAUUUGCAUUCCCUGUGUACAGACAUUAGGAGGAAUUCUAAACACAAAUAAGUAGCAGGCUAAUUGUACAGCACGUGUCCUGCUUGUGCUUUUGUGUUUGUCUGGGCCAGUGUGGUGAAGUCGGGUGCGCUGAAGUAACUGCUGUGCUUGUGUUUGGUUGGGAUAUGUACGUGUGCUUCAUAGGCCUAACCAGUUCUCUGCUCUGAAAUAGGAGAUUAACGGUGUGAAUGUGCCUCUUUUCAUCACAAAUUUCACAGGCUUUGAACUUAAAGAAUUGGAAAAUACAGCUUAAUGUUGCUUACCUAUUCGUUGCUGAUUCUCUCUGCUCCCAUGAAAUCCAUCCAAAAAACCGGUUUGUGGUGUCUGAUUAAAAGACAAGAUUGUGUAUCGGUAUAACACAGCAGAUUUGGGAAAGUGAUCGUUUUGUUUUGCGAAGGAGCGUGGUAUUCAUCACACUCUUGGUUCUUUGUCUCGAAGUCAAGAGGAGGAUAGAAACAUAUAUCGAUGUAUUCCCUGCGUCCCAUGGAAACAAAAUGGGGUCGGUCACCAAACGCAAAAAAUUAGUCUGGGCGUCUUUCCGUUAACUUCCAGAAUUAGCUGGUCAUUCCAGUUCUUUGCGGGCAAAGAAUAAUUAGUAUUAUAUUUGUUAUUUCGGUGUUUCACCAAUAUGGCAGACUGAUAUUUGUGCCGCGCUCAGGUCUGUGGGAAUGUGUCGGUUGGUACCGAGAGAGCCCGUUAACGCAAAGCCUUUUCACAGAGCGUUACCUCUGUACCAGGAAUCCGUUUGUGACAGGUGUGAUAUAUAACAUAAUAUAAUAUGAGUUCCAGUUUGAGGACGGGGCUCUUUGACCGAUUGCGUUCCUGUACUUGUGUAACUUGCAUGCACCAGUUUUUUGGGGCAGGGUGUAUGUGUGUCAAUGUUGUUAUGGAAACGCGCUCCUGGGAGGGAGGGGUGGGGGCGUGCGGGCUGAACAGGCUUGGACUCGCGGGUUCGAGGACUGCCUGUGUCAGCCUGGCGGGGGCGCUGGAGGGCACUUUAUUGGUCAGUGUGUCCCGUUCCAGGUAGUCUUUCCAAAUCCAUUGGCUGUCCUGUGCUCUCCACACCCGCCCUCCACUGCACACACACACAAAUGACCAUUAUUUAAAAAAUAAUAAAUGAUGUCAGUUCAAGUCUUCCUUUUCCUUGUGUCACCUUUUGGGAAGAAUGUACUUCAGUACUAUCCUUGACAUUCAGAGAGGAAGUCACCGCACCGUUGUCUGAAUGCCAAAAUUAUACUACAAAAAUCUAGUCAAUGCAAUGCCACUGUAUUUCAAUUCUGCUGCUUUGUGUUACCUUAGAAAUCGUUUGCAAUUAAGCCAGGCACUAAAGCAGGGCCCAUUCUAAGCCUUAAGAGAUACCUACGGAUUAUGUUAACGCUAAAAGAAUGGAUCCAUACGUAACUGUGGCUUAGUUGUUUAUAGUUUUGCCGAUGGCAGUCGUUUUCAUUUACGUUUCGUAAAAACGGCCUUGCGUCAACCAGUGGAAUGACGGUGAGACCAGAUGACUCCAUCGACGAUGUUCUCAUCUGACUUGGGCUCGAGGUUCUGUCCAGAACAUGGUUGACGGAGCGCAGAAUAGUGUCAUGUUUCCAAUAUCUGUAUAUUUAAAAUCUGUUUUUCAUACUCUCACCAUUAGGUUAAACUGUAGCAACAGGUAGUUCAUAGCAGUUUGAUAUGUAGCUUAUUGAAAAGCAAUUUGUUUUUAGUUGACUGUUUUAAGCUAUGCAAAUCAAGCCUAUGUUCUGAUCUCUUCAAACAAAAUUACAUGUGAACUCUUUAAUGCUGAGCACUAGUUCUAGAAGUUGUUGAUGUUCUGUUGGAAGAUGUGUAAAAAGAAAAUGGCCUAUAAUUUGUAUGUGUUGAAAUUGACCAGAAUAGAUUCCGUUCAUGUUUUUUUAUGUUCCUUUUUGUUGUUUUUUGUUUUUGUUUUUUGCCAAUCUUGUAAGAAUUUCACCUCGUGUGCCAUUUUAAAGAGGAAAAUGAAGAGUGGAAUGAUGUUACUGUCUUAUUUUUCUUACAUGGGAAAAAAAAAACAGAACAAAAUAAACAACUGGAAAAUUU